GAAGUGCGAUAAGUGUCAUGACUUGCAGAUCCCCGAGAGCUGACAAAUUUCUGAAUGCAAAUGGCGGCCAACUUCCGUUGGUCAUGUAUUGCAGAGUGUAGUUGUUCAUACUCAUCAUCCUCUUGAUCUCAACAAUCCGGAGGGAUCUGCGCUUGUUGGUGAAAUCCGCCAUGCGAGCGUGAAAAGUCAGAGUGGAUGCCUGAUCUCCCAGCGAGAGAAGGUAUCCAACUUCGGAGUUACUUAGAAGUUGACGAUACUCUGUGAGAAGCUGUCUGUAACACGGCGGUCUCUCUCAUUUUCCGAUUCACCUCUGCAAUGCAGGAAAACCCGCUGAACUUAA
RNAcentral lists this unclassified non-coding RNA (340 nucleotides) under uncultured fungus. Its description in RNAcentral is "sequence contains ITS1". The stretch from base 1 to 101 matches the Rfam family "5.8S ribosomal RNA", at positions 50 to 154 of the family's 154-position model. Lineage: Eukaryota; Fungi. The record is from RNAcentral.